UGUGACUGCGUACCUUUUGUAUAAUGGGUCAGCGACUUAUAUUCUGUAGCAAGGUUAACCGAAUAGGGGAGCCGAAGGGAAACCGAGUCUUAACUGGGCGUUAAGUUGCAGGGUAUAGACCCGAAACCCGGUGAUCUAGCCAUGGGCAGGUUGAAGGUUGGGUAACACUAACUGGAGGACCGAACCGACUAAUGUUGAAAAAUUAGCGGAUGACUUGUGGCUGGGGGUGAAAGGCCAAUCAAACCGGGAGAUAGCUGGUUCUCCCCGAAAGCUAUUUAGGUAGCGCCUCGUGAAUUCAUCUCCGGGGGUAGAGCACUGUUUCGGCAAGGGGGUCAUCCCGACUUACCAACCCGAUGCAAACUGCGAAUACCGGAGAAUGUUAUCACGGGAGACACACGGCGGGUGCUAACGUCCGUCGUGAAGAGGGAAACAACCCAGACCGCCAGCUAAGGUCCCAAAGUCAUGGUUAAGUGGGAAACGAUGUGGGAAGGCCCAGACAGCCAGGAUGUUGGCUUAGAAGCAGCCAUCAUUUAAAGAAAGCGUAAUAGCUCACUGGUCGAGUCGGCCUGCGCGGAAGAUGUAACGGGG
This 588-nucleotide ribosomal RNA is filed under the name Escherichia coli. RNAcentral describes it as "partial 23S ribosomal RNA". It matches the Rfam family "Bacterial large subunit ribosomal RNA", at positions 592 to 1180 of the family's 2925-position model. The record is from RNAcentral. Lineage: Bacteria; Pseudomonadati; Pseudomonadota; Gammaproteobacteria; Enterobacterales; Enterobacteriaceae.